RNAcentral lists this ribosomal RNA (235 nucleotides) under Staphylococcus aureus. RNAcentral's name for it is "partial 23S ribosomal RNA". It matches the Rfam family "Bacterial large subunit ribosomal RNA", at positions 2688 to 2925 of the family's 2925-position model. Lineage: Bacteria; Bacillati; Bacillota; Bacilli; Caryophanales; Staphylococcaceae. The record is from RNAcentral.
AGGACCGGGAUGGACAUACCUCUGGUGUACCAGUUGUCGUGCCAACGGCAUAGCUGGGUAGCUAUGUGUGGACGGGAUAAGUGCUGAAAGCAUCUAAGCAUGAAGCCCCCCUCAAGAUGAGAUUUCCCAACUUCGGUUAUAAGAUCCCUCAAAGAUGAUGAGGUUAAUAGGUUCGAGGUGGAAGCAUGGUGACAUGUGGAGCUGACGAAUACUAAUCGAUCGAAGACUUAAUCAA